This 1411-nucleotide ribosomal RNA is filed under the name metagenome. RNAcentral describes it as "bacterial LSU rRNA". It matches the Rfam family "Bacterial large subunit ribosomal RNA", at positions 1534 to 2925 of the family's 2925-position model. The record is from RNAcentral.
UGUCAAUUCCGAGACGCGAUAACGAGCUGUCAAGGCUUCGGUCUGACGGUGAAGUGGUUGAUGCCAUGCUUCCAGGAAAAGCCUCUAAGCUUCAGGUAACAAGGGACCGUACCCCAAACCGACACAGGUGGUCAGGUAGAGAAUACCAAGGCGCUUGAGAGAACUCGGGUGAAGGAACUAGGCAAAAUGGUACCGUAACUUCGGGAGAAGGUACGCCGCUUGGGGUGAUCGGACUUGCUCCGUGAGCUCCGGGCGGUCGAAGUGACCAGGUGGCUGCGACUGUUUAUUAAAAACACAGCACUCUGCAAACACGAAAGUGGACGUAUAGGGUGUGACGCCUGCCCGGUGCCGGAAGGUUAAUUGAUGGGGUCAGCCGCAAGGCGAAGCUCUUGAUCGAAGCCCCGGUAAACGGCGGCCGUAACUAUAACGGUCCUAAGGUAGCGAAAUUCCUUGUCGGGUAAGUUCCGACCUGCACGAAUGGCGUAACGAUGGCCACACUGUCUCCACCCGAGACUCAGUGAAAUUGAACUCGCUGUGAAGAUGCAGUGUACCCGCGGCUAGACGGAAAGACCCCGUGAACCUUUACUACAGCUUUGCACUGGACUCUGAAUCUGUUUGUGUAGGAUAGGUGGGAGGCUAUGAAGCCGGAACGCUAGUUCUGGUGGAGCCAACCUUGAAAUACCACCCUGACAUAUUUGGGGUUCUAACCCAGGCCCGUUAUCCGGGUCGGGGACAGUGUAUGGUGGGUAGUUUGACUGGGGCGGUCUCCUCCCAAAGAGUAACGGAGGAGCACGAAGGUACCCUCAGCGUGGUCGGAAAUCACGCUUUUGAGUGCAAAGGCAUAAGGGUGCUUGACUGCGAGAGCGACGGCUCGAGCAGGUGCGAAAGCAGGUCUUAGUGAUCCGGUGGUUCUGAAUGGAAGGGCCAUCGCUCAACGGAUAAAAGGUACUCCGGGGAUAACAGGCUGAUACCGCCCAAGAGUUCAUAUCGACGGCGGUGUUUGGCACCUCGAUGUCGGCUCAUCACAUCCUGGGGCUGAAGCCGGUCCCAAGGGUAUGGCUGUUCGCCAUUUAAAGUGGUACGCGAGCUGGGUUUAGAACGUCGUGAGACAGUUCGGUCCCUUUCUGCCGUGGGCGUUGGAGAUUUGAGGAAAGCUGCUCCUAGUACGAGAGGACCGGAGUGGACGAACCUCUGGUGUUCGGGUUGUCACGCCAGUGGCAUUGCCCGGUAGCUACGUUCGGACGGGAUAACCGCUGAAAGCAUCUAAGCGGGAAGCCUCUUCCAAGAUGAGAUCUCCCCGGGGACUCGAUCCCCCUGAAGGGUUGUUCAAGACCAGGACGUUGAUAGGUGGGGUGUGUAAGCGCUGUGAGGCGUGGAGCUAACCCAUACUAAUUGCCCGUGCGGCUUGAUC